Molecule: long non-coding RNA, 617 nt
Organism: Daucus carota subsp. sativus
Lineage: Eukaryota; Viridiplantae; Streptophyta; Magnoliopsida; Apiales; Apiaceae
Exons: 3
Source: RefSeq, a predicted model, not a curated record
GUAGAUGGUAGCACCCGUCUUUCAUUUUUAAUUCAUCCUUCCUAAACGGCUAAACCUAAGCAACCAUGUUCUUCUUUGCCGUUUCUUCUCCGCUGUUCUUCAAUCCUCUCGGAGAUUUUGUAAUUGAUAUAUAACUAAAUAAUGAAGAAAAUGCUCCAGAAAAACGGCGGAUAUCGAAGACCGCUAAUAAGGAUGGACCCCUUCAAGAUAAGAUCCCUAAUCUAAAUCUUGCAUCCGGGGAUAUUGCACAAGCAGAAAGCAUUAAGAGGUGUUAAACUCCUGGUAGAGCCUGGUGAAUCUCAUCUGAAGACCAGGGAUUUGAUAUUUCUUCCACUCCCGCUAGCAUUUCCCUUUCCAGAUAAAAAGCAGGCGGGGCAACUUGUUGCAAUAGAAGAGCUUCUUCCAUCCGCAGGACAACAAGAGGUCUAAUUUAGAGCUUUUCCGUCAAUUAGACGAAUAGGGAUUGUUUGUGUAUUGUGCUGCUUGAAAUAAUAUAGAUGAGAUAGAUGUAUACCAAUAUCAUGUAUAAGAUGUUCCCACUCUGUUGUAUGUGAAAAUUCAAUCCAAUGUGAUCAAAAUCUGUAUACGAAUUAUUGAUGUCAUGUCUUCGUUUUUGA